UACGUAGGGUGCGAGCGUUAAUCGGAAUUACUGGGCGUAAAGGGUGCGCAGGUGGUUUGCUAAGCGCGAUGUGAAAUCCCCGAGCUUAACUUGGGAAUGGCAUAGCGAACUGGUGAACUAGAGUGUAGCAGAGGGAGGUGGAAUUCCACGUGUAGCGGUGGAAUGCGUAGAGAUGUGGAGGAACACCGAUGGCGAAGGCAGCCUCCUGGGCUAACACUGACACUCAAGCACGAAAGCGUGGGGAGCAAACAGG
Molecule: ribosomal RNA, 253 nt
Filed under: uncultured bacterium
Lineage: Bacteria
Description: partial 16S ribosomal RNA
Rfam family: Bacterial small subunit ribosomal RNA
Source: RNAcentral